Molecule: ribosomal RNA, 497 nt
Filed under: uncultured bacterium
Lineage: Bacteria
Description: partial 16S ribosomal RNA
Rfam family: Bacterial small subunit ribosomal RNA
Source: RNAcentral
GAUGAACGCUGGCGGCGUGCCUAAUACAUGCAAGUCGAGCGAACAGACGAGGAGCUUGCUCCUCUGACGUUAGCGGCGGACGGGUGAGUAACACGUGGAUAACCUACCUAUAAGACUGGGAUAACUUCGGGAAACCGGAGCUAAUACCGGAUAAUAUAUUGAACCGCAUGGUUCAAUAGUGAAAGACGGUUUUGCUGUCACUUAUAGGUGGAUCCGUGCCGCAUUAGCUAGUUGGUAAGGUAACGGCUUACCAAGGCAACGAUGCGUAGCCGACCUGAGAGGGUGAUCGGCCACACUGGAACUGAGACACGGUCCAGACUCCUACGGGAGGCAGCAGUAGGGAAUCUUCCGCAAUGGGCGAAAGCCUGACGGAGCAACGCCGCGUGAGUGAUGAAGGUCUUCGGAUCGUAAAACUCUGUUAUUAGGGAAGAACAAAUGUGUAAGUAACUAUGCACGUCUUGACGGUACCUAAUCAGAAAGCCACGGCUAACUACGUG